RNAcentral lists this non-coding RNA (192 nucleotides) under Clostridia bacterium. RNAcentral describes it as "6S RNA". It matches the Rfam family "6S / SsrS RNA". Rfam says of the family: E. coli 6S RNA was the first non coding RNA to be sequenced, but its function was unknown until recently. It consists of 184 nucleotides that fold into an extended hairpin structure with a large single-stranded internal bulge. Lineage: Bacteria; Bacillati; Bacillota; Clostridia. The record is from RNAcentral.
AUUACCCUGCGAAGCCCGAUAACUGCGGACGAUAUUAACCCAACACACUAUUAAAGGGAGCUUUUUCUCGAUUUCAUUGGGAGCAGACCUCCCGUCAUUCGACGGAAGAAGGGAGCACAGAUAUGAACGGAGAGCACCCACCUGCUUAACAUGCAGGUUAGUAUUCACCGCAACCGACUUUGCGGGGCACCU